UUUUUUUUGCUAAACAAGGUUUCUAAUAAAAAUAGGUAAGGAAGAAAAUAAAAAAGCGAGGCAGUCAGACUGAAGAAAGUCCAAAAUUUCCGCCUUUAAAAGCAAUAAAAAUAAUUUCUGGAUUGCAAAAUUAAAUAAAGCAAGCACUUUCUUCCCUAAUCUUAACCAACUUUACAACCUCUUCCUUUUGCUUUCUUUUACCUUUUACUUUUUUUGACAUGGCUCACUACUUUGAAAUACACUACCCCUUAACAAGAAUUAAUGUCAUUACUUCCAAAUUUAUGACCAACUAUUUAGCAUACGCCUUUACCAAAAUCUAUUUUCUAAGCAGCAAGUUCUAAACCAAUCUUAUUCACUAUCCAAAUGAACUCAACUAAUUUGCUCCAUUUUCUUCUGAAACAUAACUGAAUUACUCUCUCUAUUCCAAUUUAGACAACAGUAUCUCAUUUGAGACAACAACAAUAACUAAAAAUCCAGUGUGUAAUUUCACAUGGGAGGAUGUGAUGUACACAGUUUUACCCUUACCUUGCCCUGCCUUGCGAAGUUAGAGGGCACGUUAUGUACACAGCCUAUAGUACACAACUUUUACAAGUUUUUAAGACUUCCAAUAUAUUCUUGAGAUCUUUUAACUGUUGAUUUUUAUUAAUAUUUUGUGUUUCAACUAUUACCUUACCAUUUUCUUUUUUUAAUUUAUAUAAAAUCGACAGUGUAAUUUUGUUUAAAACUAUUAGUAGCUAAUUUUAACCCGUAAUACCAGGUUAGUGGUAACUAUUUCUCUUAAUUAUUUACAUAAAUUUUACGCCAAAGUUAAACUUAUUAAUUUAGCAUGCAAGUCAAACUAUAUUGUGUAACAGUAAUUUACCUGCAUUACAUGGUGAGCAGAACCAGAAGUAGGCAAAGGACGAAUAGUAGCAGAGUCUACUUCACCAGUGGGCAAAGGAACCGCCGGAUUGCUAUUAAUAAACGGAAUAUCACCACCUUUUUCCGGCAACAUUGGUCCAUUAGCAGGAAAUAAUGCACUAGGUGCAGGGCUAGGGGAUGUGGUUUCUCGCGGCUGAAACGGCCAUGGGUAUGCCGGAGAAGAUGACACAACGCCACCAGAUACCACCGGUGGAGAUCCCGCCGGUGGCUGCUCCGGCGCCGGAGUUGAAAGAGAGACCUUAAUUGCUAGCUUUUGGCCUUGUAAACAUGCUGCAUUGGAUCCAUUGUUGAAUGAGAAGUAAAAGUAACCUGGUCUUGAUGGGUGCCACUGCAUUCAUUUUAACAGAAUUAAAUUCAUCAUAAACAAUAAAAAGGAUCAAAUCCUUUAGCUGAUUUUUAACACCCUUUUGAAUUCUAGCCGUGAAUCUUAAAAAUUUCUGAAGAAAUUGAAGGUAUAUACAAGAAAGUUGAGACUUAACACACACACACACACACAUGAACAGGAACUGAAAGAGGAACUUACAGUGUAAGACUUGGAAUCAGAUUUAGUAAGAAGUGUAGCUUGAGUGAAAUUGCAGACAUUGAAGGCAUUUUGGUUCUGGAAAAUGUAGAGAUUGUACUGAUACUUGUUCUUGAAUACUGAAGAGAAAAAAAAACUUAGAGUAAAAAAUUUUGGUCAACUCAAAAACUACCAAUAACAGCAAAAUGGCUCAUAAUUGAAUGACUGCUAGUACAACUUACUAAUGGAAUCUCCAAUUUGGACUGUUGGGUUUUUCCAUUCUGAAACUCCAUCAACUACUACAGUUGCACUAUGAGAAAGCUGAAAAAUUACACUUUCAAGAAUGAAGAAAAACACCCAAAACAUUGAGACAAGUCCCAUGAAAAUUGGUGCUAAAUUCUUAGUCCUAAGUGAGGAAAGAAAGAAAGGGUAUUAAAGAGAGUAACAGUUAGUGUAAGCUUUAAUACUAUCUUUUUGAGGUUGAGAAUCCAAUUUAAUGGAGGAAAAAGAGAGUGAUACAGAAAAGUAUAAAUACACAGAGAAAGAGAAAAAUGGAGAGCAACAGAGGUGUUAAAGAGAGUUGUCAGAUGUAUUGGGCUUUUCACGGGAAGAGAGUUUUGAAUGGUGUACAGAUAUUGAAAUUUUGGGGAAUGUGUAUAUUAGCACUAGUACUAGUACUAGUACUAUUAUAGAGGAGUAAUUAUUUUUUUUUAUUUUUAAGUUUUUACAGUAAAAGUUGGAAUGAUUUUGUCUGCGCAAAAUAAAUAUUUAACAAACAAAAAGAUGCUUUCUUUUUAGGAAAAGUGGAACAUGGAAUUAUGAUGAUUUUGGGUAGAUGGUGAUGAGUUAUGAGUUAUGAGUGAUGAUGGGGAUUAUUAUUUCAAAAUGAUUAGUUUUGUGAUUAUGAAUUUAUUACUCUAUUAUUAUUAUUUCCCUUUUCUUAGGGGUCUUGGGGAACCCAAAUUUUAUUUGUUUAAAACUUUUGAGUACCAUUUUUUAAAAUUACUUGAGCCGUUGCUUGUGGAUUUUCUAGGUUUAUAUUACUUUUUACUAGGUUGUGGGUUGUCACAUGUUAAUGCUUAGAAAAAGUUGCUAAUUGGUACUACUACUAUCGUUUUUUAGGCAGAAGCAUUCACAAUAUUGAGGUCCAAAGGUGUCGAUCAGAAAUUACUGUGUCCAUGUCAUGAGUGAACUAUUAUCCUACUAAUAUCAGUAAGUUCCUAAAAAUGAUUAUUGUUGAUUCUAUUAGCUAACUUAAUAAAGAAAGAAAUGCUCCUCAAUCAUCUUGGUAUAUAUAUUUAACUAUAAACUUAUUCCAUCUUUAUAAGUUAUUAUUAUUUUACAAAUCUUCAAGCUUUAAAAAAAUUAGUAAGAACACAUAAACUUUUGUAGAUUUAAGAGUUUUUUAAAUUUUUUUCCAAAGGUAUAUAUUCUUAAGUUUAUUCUAUAAACACAAUCACGCAUGGGUAGCUAACUAACAAAAAUCUUUUUCUUGCCCAAGGAAAAAAUAUAAAUUCGGCUAUUUCUUUAAUUGAUUGAAAUACUAUAUGAAUUGUAAAAUAACUCAAAAAUAUAAAUAGCUCAACGACUUCAUUAAGGUGCAGAUAUAUUUUAGAUUCGUAUCAAUUAUUACUGAAUUUAUAUUCCACGAUUGUAAAUAAAUUGUGGUAUUCAUAUUCCUAGCAUUCAGUAAUGAGGCUAAUUAUAUCUCUUUCGUAUUCUUCAGCCACGCACACUAUAUGUACUAAAUUUAGUAUAUCUUUCUCUAAGAAGUUUAAUUGUUCUAUUUUUAAAUGUUUAAGGCUCAUUAUUUCUAUUUCAUGUAAUUGCUUUCUAUUUUUUAUAAAAUAGCAAAUUACAUGUCCACCGAAAACAAACAUGCUAAUUUGUUAUAUCUUUCUGUAUGAAGUUUGAUUGUUCUAUGCUUAAAUAUUUAAGGCUCAGUGGUUUCUAAUUUUAUGUAGUUACUUUUUUUAUAUAAUUUUCUCAUAAAAUAGCAAAUUAUAUGUUCACGAAAAAUAAAUAUUUUAACUUUUAAAUUACAUACUUGAAUUGAUAGCUAUGAAGAAAAUUAUAAGAACUUUUGUUACUACAAAACUGAAGAAUGUCUAUUAUUAAACUUCAAGAAUAAACUAAAAGUCAGAAAAUUAAACUCAAAAUAAAAGCAAAUUUACCUUCGCAAACCUCGACGCUAUCAAGAAUUUUUGAAAAGGAAUAUGAAAUAUUGGCUUCUUUUACAGAAGUGUCCAACUCCUCCUUUAUCUAAAUGACUUUGGUUUCAAAAUUCUAAGCAAUAUAGGUUGAUGAAAGCAUUGUCCAACCCGAAAACUAAAAGAGAGUGUUUAUGGAGAAUAAAAAUUGGGUAUUAAUCGACUUCUUUUUACACACUUUGAAAGGAAUAUUAAAGAAUGCGUUUCCUACUUACUAUCUUUUCUUGUCCAUUUUAACCUAUGAAAAUUUACCUCUUUAAUAUGUAUAUUAAACAAUGAGUUUCCACUUAAUGUCUAAUUCUUUUUUCCUUUAUAACAUACGAAAAUUUCGACCAUAUUAGUAGGAAUAUUAAAUAAUGAGUUUCUUCUUAUGUCUUAUUCUUUUUAACUUUUUACCUUGAUAAGUUUUACUUUUCCCGCAAGCUAUGGGAUGGAAGGACUGUUUUUUAUGUUAUUAAUUAAGAAAGAGUUUCCUUUUUAUUUUACUGGCAACCUUUUUUUCAAAAAAAUAAAUACUUUAUUUGUAUUUAUAAUUUUAUCCAAUAUAAAAUACACCUAUAGAGGAUAAAAAAGACGAACGACAUUUCGCUCAGGAGCUUCGUGCUUUUAAUAUAGUAUAGAUAGGGUGUGUUUGGUCUUGGAAUAUAUAUAUUUUUUUGGAAAAUAAGUGGAUUUUUUUUACUUAUUUUCUGAUGUUUGGUUAGGUAACAGAAAAUACUUUUAGAAAAUUUAUAAUUUAGGCAAAUAGUAUAUGAGGCGAAAUAGAUAAAGGCGGGGGAGGACGGUAGGUCGAGGUCUAGGGAUCGGGUUGGCGGUAAGAGGGGGGGGGGGGAUAGCGGGAUAGCGGUGGGAGUGGGGAAUAUGGUGGAAAAGUUGAGAAAAGGUUUUGAAAAAUAUUUUCACUCCUUUUGAUAAGAGAGUUAUUUUUGUCUAAUUGGAGAAAAAUGAGUUCAUGAGAAAAAUAUUUUCCAAAAUAUUUAAGUCAACCAAACAUGAGAAAAUUGAAAAAUAUUUUACAGAAAAUUAAUAUUUUUCCCAUACCCAAACACACCCAUAAUCUGCCAUUUUUUAAGUUAUAAAUCUGCCCUUUUAAGUUAUAAUUAUCUGCUUUACUCUAAAUUCAGAGAGCAUUUUUAGGUUUAAAAUGAUUUCUUAAUGGAAAAAUGAUUUUAUUUUGUGUUUGCACAAGUUCCGGCUAACCUUGACCGGUUUUUGCCCAAAUUGAUAUUCAAGAAUAUCUAGUGUGAAAGUUGAGUGAUUUUUUUGGUUUGAACUAUUAGUUUAAAGAUUUCCCUAUAAUUAGACUUAUAUAAGUUUAAUGAGACUCUACGUAAUUAAUGUAACCUCAUACUUUACUAUUGAAAGCAUUUGGAUAUAUACCUAUAUUUUUCACAAACGUACAAGUUUAAACCUCUACUUUAUCCAAAAUAAUGUCCAUGCAUAUGUUUUCAAAUUCAAUUGCUUAAAGAAAGAAAGAAAAAGAAAAAAGAGAGAAAUUAACGAACACUACCUUCAAGUAUAAAAUAAAUGGAAAAGGAAGAAAAAGAAAAACUCGGUUAUCCGAAAGUAAUAAUAGGUCAAACAAUAGGUCAACUUAAAUCUAGAGCACAGUGAAAAAGUAAGAAAUGUAGAAUAAAUAACAUGACUGGAUUAGAACUUAGAAGAGCCAAGAAAAGAAAUCCAACCCUCUAUCUGCCGCAAGUAUGAGACAGUGAGACACUAUUCUUCUUCACUAGCUAUAACAUCUACCAAAUGGCUGACCAACACCAGUUUCUAGUUAUGCUCAUUAAUUAAUGAAUCAUUUCUUUUAAAACUAAUUAGUUUAACGAGAUGAACUUUUGGAUUUAAUUAAGAAACAAAGGUUAUAAUUUUGGUGGCCUAAAACAUUAAAAGAAUAAAAAGUCAAUAAGUAUAUACCAAGACAACGAACUAGAAGACAAAAAACAAGUACUGCUCCGAGGACCUUUGAAAUGUCCAAUUCUUUUGNNNNNNNNNNNNNNNNNNNNNNNNNNNNNNNNNNNNNNNNNNNNNNNNNNNNNNNNNNNNNNNNNNNNNNNNNNNNNNNNNNNNNNNNNNNNNNNNNNNNNNNNNNNNNNNNNNNNNNNNNNNNNNNNNNNNNNNNNNNNNNNNNNNNNNNNNNNNNNNNNNNNNNNNNNNNNNNNNNNNNNNNNNNNNNNNNNNNNNNNNNNNNNNNNNNNNNNNNNNNNNNNNNNNNNNNNNNNNNNNNNNNNNNNNNNNNNNNNNNNNNNNNNNNNNNNNNNNNNNNNNNNNNNNNNNNNNNNNNNNNNNNNNNNNNNNNNNNNNNNNNNNNNNNNNNNNNNNNNNNNNNNNNNNNNNNNNNUUCUUUUGUUAAUUCUGUAAUAUAAUCCAAGGAAAUCUUAUACUAUAUAUUUAUCUUUUGAGGUAAAAUAAUCAGAUAAAUAUAGGGAACAAAGAAAGAAAUGGGGAAGUACAAGAUUACGCAUGCAAUUUAAGAUAGCACACAUGGGUUGUCCUCUAUUGCUUGGUGUAUAAUGUAUUGUUGCACUUGGUUUUGACUUUUACUUAUAAAAGCUGGCAAAAAUGGGUAAAUACAUAUUUACACAAAAUCAAUCAAUUUAAUAUUAGCAACUAGAAAUUAAAGUGAGAAUACACAUCAUUUAAUUUUGUGUAUGAAAAACAUGUGCCUUGCAUUGAUAGAUUUGAUAUAAAUAUCCUAUAUGAGUAAAUUUUUGCAUCAAAAAUGGUCGCCGGUCCGUGAAUCACUAUCUCAGUAGUUGCAAUUAUUAGUUUGACCGCGAGUAUUUGCAAAUAUUUUGAUUUCAACUAAAAGGUGCAUUUCAGGUGAAAUAUUAGUUUUUUUCCCCCCACAAAUUUUCAACAUUCAUAAACUUUAAUUCUUUCCGAGUGAAGUUCACAUCCAAGUAAAGUGACUCCAAUUUUGACCUCAUGGAUAAUUUGAUCUCUCGCAGCCUUUUAGCCUUUAUUUUCAUAUUCUAGGAACGUGACAAAUAAAAAUCACAUAAGGAAUGUGGCUUUUAAGAAAAGAAGAGUUGGGUAAAAUGUUGGGCUAUAAAUUAUAGCAUAGGUGUGACAGUCAAAAUUGUAUUUACCAUGUAUGGCAUAAGCCAAAGCUUGUUGCUAUCUUUACAUUUAAUUUCAUUUUAGAAAUUACAUCACUGAUUCAAGCUACUAAACUAGAAAGUAUGUGAAAUGUUAUGCGUCAAAGUAGUGCGGCAAGAAAAGUGGUAUAUUAACUGAACCUAAAGAAAACUUAGUCUAACACUAAUAUUUUUCCUAGUGAUAGCAAAUCUUUUCCCGUGCUUUAUUUAUUUGUAGACAUUUUUGUUUAUUCACGAGCAAUGCCCCAAAGUUUUAUAUACUCAGAUUUCAUAUAGAGGCUCAUGACUUGACAAUAGGUUAGUUUAUAGACACUUCGAAACCAAACUCCUUAUUUAGUUUGCCUGCCAAAAUUUAAUAAAGACUUUGUUGAUAUAAUUUUAAUUAUUAAGAGUAGUUUAAACCUCCAACUAGCUAGUGUAUGGUUCGCUCAACGGGUAGUAAGAGUUGAGUGUCACUUACAUCCCACCACAAGGCAUUCCUAUGUCAAUAAUAUGAAGUUUAUAUUGGGACAAUACAUAUUUCAAUCCUUGAACUCGUUCGAUUAUUAUUCUAGAAUAAUAGUAAAACUUUGUGGGGGUCAUAACCCCCUUGUAUUUGUUGGAAGUGGGAUUAUUAUAACCAGUACUAGUUUUAAAAAGAUUAGUGCAAACACCGAACCAAUCACGUUUCCGUAAUUUUUCUUAUACUAUUUUUUUCCAUGCAUUAACCCUUUAUUGGCCUAGGGGUUGAGCCGCCCUUGUUAAGAAUGCUUGUGUAAUCAUCCUGUAUGUUGAGCAAAGGAAAGCAUGAGACGACAUCACUGAUCAGUCUUGCGAGUGCAAGCUAUAACGAGCCAUUGACAAACAAGUACAAAAUGUUAGUCCGGAUUUCAUUCCCAUGCUUUACUGGUAUCAAAUCUAACAAAUCAGGCAUUUGCAUUCUAAAACCCCUAUAACUACAAACCCAACAAAAAUACUUGUGCUAACUUAAGUGAACUCCCUCCGCUAAAUAAAUAGAAGAUCCCGUUAUAGAUUUUCCAGGACAUGAUACUAUACAAUACUGCCCUUCACAAAGGAAGUGUUACCACUCGGAAAGAAUAACCAUCUGCUAAAUUAACCGACUUGAUGUUAUAUCACUUACCCCAGCACGAUUAGGCUCCUUUAUUCUGAACUUAUAUCAGAAGGCAUUCAUUUUGAACUCAUGCCUGAUGCACU
This 7925-nucleotide long non-coding RNA is filed under the name Nicotiana tabacum (common tobacco). RNAcentral's name for it is "long non-coding RNA (NTAB_LNC001923)". Lineage: Eukaryota; Viridiplantae; Streptophyta; Magnoliopsida; Solanales; Solanaceae. The record is from RNAcentral.